CCUGUACAUGAAGUACGUCCACCCAUUCAUCUUUGCUCUGUGCACCAUUAUUCCCAUGGAGCCCGACGAGGUGCUGCGGAAGGGCUCUGGCACGCUAUGUGAGGCCUUGCUGAUGGUGCAGGCCUUCCACGCCAACAUCAUCUUCCCCAACAAGCAAGAGCAGGAGUUCAAUAAGCUGACGGACGACGGACACGUGCUGGACUCUGAGACCUACGUCGGGGGCCACGUGGAGGCCCUCGAGUCUGGGGUUUUCCGCAGCGAUAUCCCUUGCCGGUUUAGGAUGGUGUGCUUCUUCCCUGGGAUUCAGAUUCUUCCCACUCUUGUGCUGUGGUAGGACCCAGAAGCUGCAGGGGCUGAAAUAAAGCC
Molecule: small RNA, 366 nt
Filed under: Pan troglodytes (chimpanzee)
Lineage: Eukaryota; Metazoa; Chordata; Mammalia; Primates; Hominidae
Description: retained intron
Source: RNAcentral